UACAGAGGGGGCAAGCGUUAUUCGGAAUUAUUGGGCGUAAAGGGCGCGUAGGCGGUCGUUCAAGUGGUAGGUGAAAUCCCUCGGCUCAACCGAGGAGCUGCCCGCCAAACUGAAUGACUUGAGUCCGGGAGAGGUGAGUGGAAUUCCCAGUGUAGCGGUGAAAUGCGUAGAUAUUGGGAGGAACACCAGUGGCGAAGGCGGCUCACUGGACCGGCACUGACGCUGAAGCGCGAAAGCGUGGGGAGCAAACGGG
This 253-nucleotide ribosomal RNA is filed under the name uncultured bacterium. Its description in RNAcentral is "partial 16S ribosomal RNA". It matches the Rfam family "Bacterial small subunit ribosomal RNA", at positions 524 to 776 of the family's 1533-position model. The record is from RNAcentral.